This 442-nucleotide ribosomal RNA is filed under the name uncultured Smithella sp. RNAcentral describes it as "bacterial SSU rRNA". It matches the Rfam family "Bacterial small subunit ribosomal RNA", at positions 938 to 1382 of the family's 1533-position model. The record is from RNAcentral. Lineage: Bacteria; Pseudomonadati; Thermodesulfobacteriota; Syntrophia; Syntrophales; Smithellaceae.
CAUGUGGUUUAAUUCGAUGCAACGCGAAGAACCUUACCUAGACUUGACAUCCCUGGAAUUUUGUGGAAACACAAAGUGCCUUCGGGGAACCAGGAGACAGGUGCUGCAUGGCUGUCGUCAGCUCGUGUCGUGAGAUGUUGGGUUAAGUCCCGCAACGAGCGCAACCCUUAUCUUUAAUUGCCAGCAUUCAGUUGGGCACUUUAAAGAGACUGCCGGUGUUAAACCGGAGGAAGGUGGGAUGACGUCAAGUCCUCAUGGUCUUUAUGCUUAGGGCUACACACGUGCUACAAUGGGUGGUACAAAGAGAAGCCAACUCGCGAGAGCGCGCCAAUCUCAAAAAGCCAUCCUCAGUUCGGAUUGGAGUCUGCAACUCGACUCCAUGAAGUUGGAAUCGCUAGUAAUCGCGGAUCAGCAUGCCGCGGUGAAUACGUUCUCGUUUCUU